AUUCGAGGUGUAUCUUGAUAGUUUUUAAGGAUUUUGAUAUACUAGAUACUAAGCUGUAUAUCUGAUUGACUGACAGUUUUCUGGACGCGGGUUCGAUUCCCGCCGCCUCCACCAUCAGUACAUUAUGUACUGUAGUGUAUUUAUGAGGGGGGCGUCAUUGGUUUCGACAGGGAAAAAUAGGAAGAUUGGCAGCCGGUAGGCGAAGACCGUUAAUCUAGCAAACUCUAUAAAUGCAAAUGACGAAAGUUACGCAUUAGCCGCCUAAUAUUGGUGUUGCUAGGAGCCUGAUCCACUUGUCAACAGAACGGAUUAAAAGGGGCUUCGGCCCCUUUUUG
Molecule: transfer-messenger RNA, 335 nt
Filed under: Alcaligenaceae bacterium
Lineage: Bacteria; Pseudomonadati; Pseudomonadota; Betaproteobacteria; Burkholderiales; Alcaligenaceae
Rfam family: Betaproteobacteria transfer-messenger RNA
About the family: Bacterial tmRNA, also known as 10Sa RNA or SsrA, is named for its dual tRNA and mRNA-like properties. Its role is to liberate the mRNA from a stalled ribosome.
Source: RNAcentral